Molecule: small RNA, 31 nt
Filed under: Bombyx mori (domestic silkworm)
Lineage: Eukaryota; Metazoa; Arthropoda; Insecta; Lepidoptera; Bombycidae
Description: ovarian small RNA-34830
Source: RNAcentral
UGGCCGUGUGACUCUGCUUCCGGCAGAGGUU